UUAUCGAUAUCGUUAAACGUAUCAUUGGUGUACACACACACAUAUAUAUAUAUAUAUAUAGAAUAUAUUGUAGAAGAAAAAAAAGUUCAAUUGGAAUUACUUUUGGAUCGGACACAACUUCACCACCAGCCCCGACGAAUGUGGCAACGUUGUACGGAACCAUUAUGGCCGUGUAAAAGGUCAAGCACAAAAUAAUCCAAUCCCAGAUCGCUUUGAACGCGCAAUAAUGUAACAAAAUGUGCGGUGGAGUUUUUGGUGCUUCCUGUCUGUAUUGUGGCAUUACAUCUCCGCUCAAGGACAUCAUCUGUAAAGCAGAAUCCUUCAGAGCCGGAAGAUGGGAGCUGAAUUGCGAAACAAGGACCGAUCUCGAUCUGGUAACCGAUCUUGCGAGUUUGGCAAAUUUCGAAAGGCCACCCUUGCUGUCGUCCGUCUCUAUAGGCUG
This is a long non-coding RNA of Vespa crabro (European hornet), 442 nucleotides long. RefSeq lists it as uncharacterized. NCBI's taxonomy places the organism in Eukaryota, Metazoa, Arthropoda, Insecta, Hymenoptera, Vespidae. The record is from RefSeq and is a predicted model, not a curated record. The transcript has 3 exons.